GUCCACAGCCAUGCUGCCCUGAAAACUCCAGGUCUCGUCUGAUCUCUGUAGCUAAGCAGGGUUGGGUCUGGUUAGUACUUGGAUGGGAGAAAACUAAGGAAGUGUUCU
RNAcentral lists this ribosomal RNA (108 nucleotides) under Jaculus jaculus (lesser Egyptian jerboa). The record is from RNAcentral. Lineage: Eukaryota; Metazoa; Chordata; Mammalia; Rodentia; Dipodidae.